Molecule: RNA transcript, 6744 nt
Organism: Chelonia mydas (Green sea turtle)
Lineage: Eukaryota; Metazoa; Chordata; Testudines; Cheloniidae
Gene: TUBGCP4
Gene name: tubulin gamma complex associated protein 4
Exons: 19
Source: RefSeq, a predicted model, not a curated record
AGCAGCCUUCCCCUUCGAUCUGGGAGAGGAGCGGGACUACGCUUCCCAGUGGCCUUUGCGGGCGCAGCCUUCCCCUUCGAUCUGGAGAGGAGCGGGACUACGCUUCCCAGGGGGCUUUGCGGAGCUCGCUGGGCGCGUGGCAGGCGUCGGCCGCCGGUCCCAGCUCCCAGGAUGAUUCACGAGCUGCUCUUGGCGCUGAGCGGGUACCCCGGGGCCGCGUUCACCUGGAGCAAGAGGAGCGGCCUCCAGGUGUCCCAGGAGCUGCCGUUCCUGCACCCCAGCGAGAGCAGCGUCCUGAACCGGCUCUGCCGCCUCGGCUCCGACUACAUUCGCUUCACCGAGUUCAUCGAGCAGUACCCGGGCCACGUGCAGCAGCAGGAUCAUCACCCUUCGCAGCAGAACCAGUGUGGGUUACAUGGGAUUUACUUGCGGGCCUUCUGUACAGGGCUUGAUUCAGUGCUGCAGCCCUAUCGACAGGCAUUGCUUGACCUGGAGCAGGAGUUCCUGGCUGACCCUCACCUCUCCAUCUCCCACAUUAACUACUCCCUGGAUCAGUUCCAACUCCUCUUCCCCUCGGUGAUGGUUGUGGUGGAGCAGAUCAAGACCCAGAAGAUUCAUGGCUGUCAACUCCUGGAGACUGUCCAUAAACACAGCUGUGGGGGGCUGCCCCCUGUGCGUAGUGCACUGGAAAAGAUCCUGGCUGUGUGUCAUGGAGUCAUGUAUAAGCAGCUCUCUGCCUGGAUGCUGCAUGGACUGCUCCUAGAUCAACAUGAAGAGUUCUUUGUUAAACAGGGCCCAUCUUCUGGGAAUGUCCCUGCCCAGCCUGAAGAAGAGGACGAUGACCUGGGAAUUGGGGGAUUAACAGGAAAACAGCUGCGAGAGCUGCAGGAUCUGCGCCUGAUUGAGGAGGAGAACAUGUUAGCACCAUCUCUGAAACAGUUUUCUCUGCGAGUGGAAAUGUUACCAUCAUACAUACCUGUGCGGGUUGCUGAGAAAAUCCUCUUUGUGGGAGAAUCAGUACAGAUGUUUGAGAAUCAAAAUGUGAACCUGACCAGAAAAGGCUCCAUCUUGAAGAACCAGGAAGACACUUUUGCUGCAGAGCUACACCGCCUCAAGCAGCAGCCACUCUUUAGUCUGGUGGACUUUGAGGCUGUGGUAGACUGGAUUCGGAGCACAGUUGCUGAGCACCUAUGGAAGCUGAUGGUAGAAGAAUCAGAUUUACUAGGACAACUGAAGAUUAUUAAGGAUUUUUAUCUACUGGGGAGAGGAGAAUUGUUCCAAGCCUUCAUAGACACUGCACAGCACAUGUUAAAAACCCCACCCACAGCUGUAACUGAACAUGAUGUCAAUGUGGCGUUCCAGCAGUCUGCUCACAAGGUGUUGCUAGAUGAUGAUAAUCUCCUUCCUUUAGUCCACCUUACCAUUGAGUAUCAUGGAAAAGAGCAUAAAGAUGCUUCUCAGGCUCGGGAAGGGCCUUCCCGGGAGUUAUCUCCCCGUGAAGCCCCCACAUCUGGUUGGGCAGCUCUGGGACUCUCUUAUAAAGUGCAGUGGCCAUUGCACAUCCUCUUCACUCCUGCUGUCUUGGAGAAAUACAAUGUUGUAUUCAAAUACCUGCUGAGUGUGCGGCGGGUCCAGGCUGAGUUGCAGCACUGCUGGGCUCUCCAGAUGCAGCGCAAGCACCUGAAGUCCAACAGAACUGAUGCCAUCAAGUGGCGUUUGAGGGAUCACAUGGCCUUCCUUGUGGAUAAUCUUCAGUACUAUCUGCAGGUGGAUGUGCUGGAGUCUCAGUUCUCACAGCUUCUGCUGCAGAUAAACUCCACUCGGGAUUUUGAGAGCAUCCGAUUGGCUCAUGAUCACUUCCUAAGUAACCUGUUGGCUCAAUCCUUCAUCCUGCUCAAACCUGUUUUCCAUUGCCUGAAUGAAAUCCUGGAUCUCUGUCACAGUUUCUGUUCUCUGGUCAGUCAGAAUUUGGGCCCAUUGGAUGAGCGUGGAGCUGCACAGCUGAGCAUCCUGGUAAAGGGCUUCAGCCGUCAGUCCUCGCUCCUUUUCAAGAUUCUCUCCAGCGUUCGCAACCACCAGAUAAACUCUGACUUGGCUCAGCUGUUGCUCCGCCUGGACUACAACAAAUACUACACCCAGGCUGGGGGGACUUUGGGCAGUUUUGGGGUUUGAGCACCAGGACUAGUUUUUCUGGCUGAGAACAAGCGCACGGCAAGAUGUAGCAAGGACACCAACUGCUGCUGCAUAUGAAAAUAGACAGAAGACAGCCAAAAGCAAACACAUCUCUUCUGCACUUAAGCCUGCAACUACAGAAGCCUGGGAGGCUAACAGAAAAUAACUAACAGAUUAAUAGAAAAGGGACACACAAUACAUCAUGCAGUGGAGGUCACGGACACAGGAGCGGAUUACAAGACAGCUUAGCAGAGGUUUUUGUUUUAAAAUGGUUUGGUCCUCAAACUAUUAGAUCAGAAGAAAGUGGAGUUGGGGGGGAGAGAAGAGCUGGGCAGGCUCACGCACACAUCUCCAAUCACAUCACUUUCCUGCAGCAGAGAAGAGGCUUUUCCUUCAUCAGUGUGUCAGCUGGUUGUUGCAGCACCUCUGAUCAGGUACAGCUAUGCCAGAAGGCACAAUAAUUUACUAGGGCUGUUGAUUAAUCACAUUUAACUCACACAAUUAACUAAACAAAGUUAAUCACGAUUAAUCGCACUUUUAAUCCCACUGUUAAACAGUAGAAUACCAAUUGAAAUUUAAUAAAUAUUUUUGGAUGUUUUUCUACAUUUUCAAAUAUAUUGAUUUCAAUUACAACACAGAAUACAAAGUGUACAGUGCUCACUUUAUAUUUAUUACAAAUAUUUGCACUGUAAAAACUAAAUUAUUUUUCAAUUCACCUUAUACAAGUACCACAGUGCAAUCUCUUUAUCACGCAUGUGCAAUUUACAAAUGUAGAUAUGUUUUGUUACAUAACUGCACUCAAAAACAAAACAGUGUAAAACUUUAGAGCCUACAAGUCUACUCAGGCCAACUUCUUGUAUAGCCAAUCACUAAGACAAACAAGUUUGUUUACAUUUACUGGAGAUAAGAAGCAGGGAGCAUUAAAAACCAGGCAUUCACAUGGCACUUUUGUAGCCAGCAUUGCAAGGCAUUAACGUGCCAGAUAUACUAAACAUUUGUAUACCCCUUCAUGCUUCCGCCAUCAUUCCAGAGGACAUGCUUCAUUGCUGAUGAUGCUCAUUUAAAAAAACAGUCCAUUAAUUAAAUUUGUGACUGAACUCCUUGGGGGAGAAUUGUAUGUCUUCUGCUCUAUUUUACCUGCAUUCUGCCAUAUAUUUCAUGUUAUAGCAGUCUCAGAUGACCCAGCACAUGUUGUUCAUUUUAAGAACACUUUCCACUGCAGAUUUGACAAAAUGCAAAGAAGGUAUCUGUGACAUUACAUUCCAUAUUCUUUAUGAAAAUAUUCUUAUAAUAUGAAUGACAUAAGAUAUACUUUAUGCAAGAUGGCUCAUGUGAGAUGAUAUGAUAAAGAAAUUGCACUACAGUACUUGUAUUAGGUGAAUUGAAUAGUAUGUUUUUUACAGUGCAAAUAUUUAAUCAGAAAUAAUAUGAAGUGAUCACUCUACACUUUGUAUUGUGUUGUGUUGUAACUGAAAUCAACAUUUGAAAAUGUAAAAAAUAUCUAAAUAUUUAAUAAAUGGUAUUCUGUUAUUGUUUAAUAGUGCAAUUAAUCAAGAUUAAUCUUUUUAAUUGCUUGACAGCCCUACAAUUUACUCAACCUCUUUUGUACCUACAGCCUUCUGCCAGCUAUGGACUAUAUGAGGUCUUGGUAUCGGAGUGCAGUUGGCUAAGGCCUGUGUGGUAACUGCUUGGUUGUGUGAUGGGGGCCAGAUGCUGUACUGUUCCUGCAGAGGAAAUGGCUUGCCUCAUACCUGGAAUCUUAAAAGUAGGGCUGUCAAUCGCACUUAACACCUGUGAUUAACUGAAAACAAAAUUAAUGCAUUAAUCACAUACCUCUGGGGGGGGGGGGGGGGGGCAGCCAGGAGCCCUGCACCCCCAGCCCAGAGCCUAUAUUUCAAAAUAUCCAAAAAUAUUUAAAUAAAUUGUAUUCUAUUAACAGUGCAGUUCAAACUCUGAUUAAUCACCAUUAAUUUUUUUUAACUGCUUGCCACCCCCUACUUAAAAGACAACUUUAACCCUUCAAACACUGUUGCCUGUUCCAAUUUUCUACUCUGCCCUCCACUCCUAACACAGAUAAACAGUCCCCAGUGUUUGUGCCUUCUCUGCUAUCAGCCCUGCCAGUCUGCAGAGUCUAGUACACAUACCAGGAAACAGUAACCAGAAUGGUCACAGGAAGGCAGGCAAGAUAGCACUUGCUCUGCCCUAGAGUUCCAGGAUCGCAACAGUGCCAAGCACACCUUCACUCACUUUCAUCUCAAACCCAUCCUGGAAAGAGAGCCACAUCAGCAAACCAGGCUGCUCAGCAAGAGACAUGUACAUCCUAACCAGUGCGCACACACAGAAAGGGAGUACUCAGUGCCCACUAGACCUGGCACUUGGUUGUGGGGUGAAUGCUCCCACAGUCAAAUAGGGUAUUCAGUUCAUUGUUCUGGACUGAGAUUUUAGACCUGGUAGCCACCUUUAAUGCAAGCAGGAAAGUAACUAGGUGUUUAGCAUGGGGAAAUUUAGCUGCAAUCCACCAUGUGCCCCUGAAAGGAGCCAAGUCACGGGCUCAUAUGAGGGGAAAAAAUGUGUUACCACAAGAGAUUCAACAUUUAUUUCAUCAUAAAAGUCCAGCAAAUAAAACUAUAUACAGUGAUCCAUGCAUGUGGCCAGUAACACACAGACAUUUAAAACCUGAUUAAAAACACAGUCUUCACACCAGCAGAGAGGGCAGGACACGGGGUGGCAUUAGCAGGGGCCAUAGUCAUGUUUAUAUUUUGGAUGCUGGUUGUAGCCAACUCUCUCCCCAGCAAUGAGGCUCUGAAUAACCCACUCCUGCGACACAACAGGCAGCCGUAACACUUCUGCACACUUCAGGACAGCAGCUGGGCAGGACGAGUCACUCACCACCACGUCAAACACCCCCAAAGCAAUAUCUGCAGGGAGCAGGACACAGGCUAUUGUCAGGGGAAAAAGAAAAGACUCCUCCCUCCCUGCAGUCAAGAGAUGCAGUCUUACUGGUCCAGCAACCCUAGUCAGAAAAUUCUAUGUCUUGUACAGUUAAAAGUAUUCCACAUCGAAGUUUGAGCUCAGAUGGAGCCUCAAGUGCCGAAGAUCAAAAAACAAGGCUGCCCUUUGGCAGAUGAAUAAGCAGCUGCUUGGGUCCACAUCCUACAUGAGCUCCAUGGCUCACCUGCACUACCUCUCCUGGAGAGGGACUGAAGGGAGAGGAGAUUUAUUGCCUGAUAGCAGACUCAGAAGCGAAGCAACUGCUGACCCCGUUUUCCCUUUCUAAAAGCACAGACUGGACCACCACCUGAACUACUGCAGCAUGCAAAAGUUCACUCCCAAAACGGAGUCAGUGGAAGAGUGGAGACUUCCCCAUUUUAUCCAGGCAGAGGGCUAUCAGUUAUCUUACCCUGUGUCUGCUACCCCAUCCCUGCUCUCACCUACAACAGCCUAAGCCCCUGAUCAAGUCAAUUCUAAAUCAGUUUAAACUCCACACAAGACUGCACAGGCACUGAAGUCCCAACUACUGGAUGUGAGAGUCACACGAGGCUCUCUGGCUGGUGGGUACCUUUGUUCUGGGCAUUCGAAUAAUGUUGUUUAACUGAUGCUGCUCCCCCUGUCAUGAGGAUUUCUGACCAGAGCUCCAGGAAGUUCUGCUGUUGGUCUGAUACCAGAAGAACUUUCAGGUUACCAAAGGGGUUCUCUCGGGGGUGCCUGGAAAAGGAACAAGAGGAGGGAAGGCGUGGCAGAUCCCUACAGACUCAAAACAGUAACUUAAUUCUAUGGCCACUUACUCUGGUAGCCUGUUUGGUUAGUUAUAUGACCCCACAACACCCUUAUAUCUGAAUGCCUCAUAAACAUCAAUAAUUUUAUCCUCCCAACAGCCCUUUGAGGUAAGGACGUAUUAACCCCUUUUACAGAUAGGAAAACUGAGGCACAGAGACAGAUUUGCUCAGUCACAUGAUGAAUCUAUAGCAGAGCUGAGACAUGAACUCAGAUCUCCCAUGUUCCAGGCUGUCCUUAGCCGCAAUGCCACCGUCCCAUCUCAGUGGGGGGAGAGAGAGGGGUGUGGCAGGGCGAGAAAAGCGGUGGCUGGAAGGCAUUGCUGAAACAAAGUAUAUUAGUGUUGUCCUCUUCUAAUUUUUUAAAGAUCUUUCUGGUAGCAAGGUGCCUGCAGCUUAACCCAAUAUCCUGGGUGCAUUUUCACCAGAGCUGCAUACAGAGGGAUUGUCACUUCCCUGUUCAGUUAAGAGGAUAACUAAAAUUUAAGAUGCCACUGUUUAUGAAACCAGAAUUGCAGACGACCUGCUGCCAUAUCUCAUUGAAAGCCCACAUUCCUGCAUCCCAGAUUUCUCCCUCCCACUGAGUAUUUGGGAGCGUUGGGUUAUUUCUUUCCCAGAUGCAUUAGCUGCAUUUUCCCCAAAGAAUCUCCUUGGAAAUAUGCAGGAAAUAACAGUCUUUCUAGUUCCCUCUCUAUUUUUCUGUCCUCUCAGUUUACUAUGUAUUUGCUAGUGCAACUAACAUGUUAACCUUUCCCUUACCAGAUCAUUAAUAUUUAAUAAAAUAGAUACUGUUGUGCGA